GUAGUCCACGCCCUAAACGAUGUCAACUGGUUGUUGGGGAAGGCAACUUCCUUAGUAACGAAGCUAACGCGUGAAGUUGACCGCCUGGGGAGUACGGCCGCAAGGUUAAAACUCAAAGGAAUUGACGGGGACCCGCACAAGCGGUGGAUGAUGUGGAUUAAUUCGAUGCAACGCGAAGAACCUUACCUACCCUUGACAUGCCAGGAACCUGGGUGAGAGCUCAGGGUGCCCGAAAGGGAGCCUGGACACAGGUGCUGCAUGGCUGUCGUCAGCUCGUGUCGUGAGAUGUUGGGUUAAGUCCCGCAACGAGCGCAACCCUUGCCACUAGUUGCUACGGAAACGGGCACUUUAGUGGGACUGCCGGUGACAAACCGGA
This 376-nucleotide ribosomal RNA is filed under the name uncultured bacterium. RNAcentral's name for it is "bacterial SSU rRNA". It matches the Rfam family "Bacterial small subunit ribosomal RNA", at positions 790 to 1167 of the family's 1533-position model. The record is from RNAcentral.